RNAcentral lists this ribosomal RNA (310 nucleotides) under uncultured bacterium. RNAcentral's name for it is "bacterial SSU rRNA". It matches the Rfam family "Bacterial small subunit ribosomal RNA", at positions 30 to 334 of the family's 1533-position model. The record is from RNAcentral.
AUUGAACGCUGGCGGCAGGCCCAACACAUGCAAGUCGAACGGUAACAGGAAACAGCUUGCUGUUUCGCUGACGAGUGGCGGACGGGUGAGUAAUGUCUGGGAAACUGCCUGAUGGAGGGGGAUAACUACUGGAAACGGUAGCUAAUACCGCAUAACGUCGCAAGACCAAAGAGGGGGACCCUCGGGCCUCUUGCCAUCGGAUGUGCCCAGAUGGGAUUAGCUUGUUGGUGGGGUAACGGCUCACCAAGGCGACGAUACGUAGCCGACCUGAGAGGGUGAUCGGCCACAUUGGGACUGAGACACGGCCCAA